AGAGUUUGAUCCUGGCUCAGGACGAACGCUGGCGGCAUGCUUAACACAUGCAAGUCAAGGGGUAGCAAUACCACUGGCGCACGGGUGAGUAACACGUAGGUUAUCUGCCCCCAUCACAGACAUAACCCCGGGAAACCGGGGCUAAUAUCUGAUGAGGCCGAGAGGUCAAAGCUUUAUGCGGAUGGGGAUGAGCCUGCGGCUGAUUAGCUAGUUGGUGAGGUAAUGGCUCACCAAGGCGACGAUCAGUAGCUGGUCUGAGAGGACGAACAGCCACACUGGAACUGAGACACGGUCCAGACUCCUACGGGAGGCAGCAGUGAGGAAUAUUGGUCAAUGGGCGAGAGCCUGAACCAGCAAUGCCGCGUGUGGGAUGACAGGGCUUCGCCUUGUAAACCACUGUCGGACGGGACGAAAAGAGGUAAGAACCUCUGGGACGGUACCGUCAAAGGAAGGGUCGGCUAACUACGUGCCAGCAGCCGCGGUAAUACGUAGGACCCGAGCGUUGUCCGGAUUUACUGGGUAUAAAGGGUGCGUAGGCGGUCUUGUGCGUCAGAGGUGAAAUCUCCGGGCUUAACCCGGAGGGUGCCUUUGAUACGGCAGGACUUGAGUGCGGGAGAGGGUGAUGGAAUUCCUGGUGUAGCGGUGAAAUGCGUAGAUAUMRGRAGGAACACCRGUGGCGAAGGCGRYCACCUGGMCYGWWACUGACRCUGAGGYRCGAAAGCGUGGGGAKCAAACAGGAUUAGAUACCCUGGUAGUCC
Molecule: ribosomal RNA, 758 nt
Filed under: uncultured bacterium
Lineage: Bacteria
Description: bacterial SSU rRNA
Rfam family: Bacterial small subunit ribosomal RNA
Source: RNAcentral